This 520-nucleotide ribosomal RNA is filed under the name uncultured Pleosporales. Its description in RNAcentral is "eukaryotic LSU rRNA". The stretch from base 155 to 308 matches the Rfam family "5.8S ribosomal RNA". Lineage: Eukaryota; Fungi; Ascomycota; Dothideomycetes; Pleosporales. The record is from RNAcentral.
GGAGGAUCAUUAUCGUAGGGCUUCGGCCCUGUCGAGAUAGAACCCUUGCCUUUUUGAGUACCUUUCGUUUCCUCGGCAGGCUCGCCUGCCAAUGGGGACCACAAAAAACACUUUGCAGUACCUGUAACAGUCUGAACAAACAAACAAAAAUUAAAACUUUCAACAACGGAUCUCUUGGUUCUGGCAUCGAUGAAGAACGCAGCGAAAUGCGAUAAGUAGUGUGAAUUGCAGAAUUCAGUGAAUCAUCGAAUCUUUGAACGCACAUUGCGCCCUUUGGUAUUCCUUAGGGCAUGCCUGUUCGAGCGUCAUUUAAACCUUCAAGCUAAGCUUGGUGUUGGGUGACUGUCCGCUUCACGGCGGACUCGCCUCAAAAUUAUUGGCGGCCGGUACAUUGGCUUCGAGCGCAGCAGAAACGCGAACUCGGGCCCGUCGUAUUGGCUCCCAGAAGCUAUCUUCACAAUUUUGACCUCGGAUCAGGUAGGGAUACCCGCUGAACUUAAGCAUAUCAAUAAGCGGAGGA